Molecule: ribosomal RNA, 253 nt
Filed under: uncultured prokaryote
Description: partial 16S ribosomal RNA
Rfam family: Bacterial small subunit ribosomal RNA
Source: RNAcentral
ACGAACUGUGCGAACGUUAUUCGGAAUCACUGGGCUUACAGGGUGCGUAGGCGGCUUUUCAAGUCAGGUGUGAAAGCCCCCGGCUCAACCGGGGAAUUGCGCUUGAAACUGGAGAGCUCGAGUCAGCUAGAGGUGCACGGAACUUCCAGUGGAGCGGUGAAAUGCGUUGAUAUUGGAAGGAACACCGGAGGCGAAAGCGGUGCACUGGGGCUGGUCUGACGCUGAGGCACGAAAGCCAGGGUAGCGAACGGGA